AGUUUUAUAACCAUACUAAACAUAAUAUGCCUGUAGCGACGUUCUUCAGGCGUCGUAGCGUUAUGACAAACUGUCACCCCAAAGGAAGGACUAUAGCUAACAGUCAGGGCGCGGGAUCAUGACUUCCCGUAUAGAUCUAUACACAUUUGACACGUUCUCCGAACGGGAGACUCUGGUUAUAGACAGGACUUGAAGCGGUACCUUUUAGCAAAAAGGCAGUAUUUGAAGAUGUACAUGUCUCACGGAUUCUCAACUAAGUCUGUAUUAAAGUAAUAGUUUUGUAUGCAAAGUUUAUCCUUUUCACAAUGUUUGACAAAGCAUAAAUCAUAAGUUCUUUGAAUGUAUAAAACGGUUUAGUAACGAUGGUUACCCUUGAUAUGAUGUAUUUGUAUGUAAAUGUAUAAAUAAAACAUAUUUCUAUUUAUAAAACAUAUUGUAUCCCAAGAGGGUAAAGCUGUGUUGUGAGGUGUUUUGCAUGAUAAUGACUUCAUAAGAUAGUUAAAACAACAGUAUGAAAAGUAUAGCAAAAGAUCGAUGUUUCACACGAUUUUAGUCGUGUGUUUACUUGUAUUCCCCCCCUUAAAAGUGUAUAAAAGCAUUUACAAAACAUUUGAAAGUGUAGAUUAUAGGGGUAUGAACUCACUUGAUUGAUUGGGGAAAACGAGAAGAAAAUGGAGCAGAACUUCGGCUCGUGAAAGUCGAUUUUCCUCGGGAUUCUNNNNNNNNNNNNNNNNNNNNNNNNNNNNNNNNNNNNNNNNNNNNNNNNNNNNNCGGGGCCCUUGAUUUGAGUACGCGGGGCGUACGAGGGUACGCAGGGCGUACCUCGGUCCUAUCUGCUGACUCCUCUUCGGAUAUUACUAAGGGUUUAUAUUUAAAUUUAUAUUUAUUUUAAAUAAACUUCUAAAAUUCAUAUCUCCUUCAUACGAACUCCAUUUUCGACGUUCUUUAAAUCCCCGCAUAGGUGAGACUAAGAUCUACAACUUUCGUUUACACUCCGAUGGCAAAUUAUGAAAUUAUUUUUAUUAUUUAUUUAUUAAAAUGACGUGAUUAAGGAAUUUUUUUAAAAAUUCAUAACUUCUUUAUCUGACGUCGGUUUUUGCCAGACUUUUUACCGCUGAAAUACCAUUGUCGAGACCUUCGAUUCUCGUUUAGGUCAUUCCGGCCAAAAGUCGCUCGAUCUCCGAUUCGAGUUUUUACGUAACUUCGUAUUGCCGGUUUUUGUCGGAAAACUUAGAAUGGUCAUAACUUCUUCGUUAUAACUCGGAUUUUAGUGUUCUUUAUAUGCUUGGAAACCUUAAGACGAUAUCUAUUACAUAGCGUACUCCAAACAGAGCCUUUGAAUACUUCAUUUUUCGAUGAUAUUCUAAUUACUUUUUCAAAGAGGUUACAAGACUCGAAUUUCAAGGACCUGAAAUGACGGGUUGUUACAUCAUCCCCCCGUUAGAGGGAAUUUCGUCCCGAAAUUAGAGUUCAUGCUACGGAUAGAAGUUUUAUUUGCUCCUCAUGUUCUUAAUUGAACUCGGUUCCUCGCUUGGCAUUCCAGCGAACCUUUCACUAUCGGGAUACGACUUUGCUUCCUUCGUUUGACUUCACUGGCAUGAUAACCCUUCUUGGUCGAACGUAUGUUGAAUGUUUUUGUGGACUGUGAGAGUAGUACAUCUUGUACCCUACGAGUAGUGUCUCCAGAUCUUCGAAGUAAUUACUGAUGCUCCUGACUCAAGAUCAUGUGUUGUAUAGUUAACUUCCUGUGUCUUGAGUUGUCUUGGGGUAUAGGCAGUGACCUUUCCUUUUGCAUGAGAACACAACCAAUUCAUACUGAUUAUGAUGUCAAAAUCUUGGAAGUGGAUUAGAUGUCAUGAAGAUCUAAAAGAAAAUAUGAUUACUCCCGAAUUAAGGAAACAUGAUGGGUAUUUUUGUUCUAUCUGUCUCUCUCUUGUACCAAUCGACAGAAAGGGGUAUGUCUUGCGCUUCUAAGUUUAUUUGUAUGGCAGCACGAUCACUCGUAGUCUUAUGCAGUCUCCGUCCUGAAGUUCAUAUUAGAAAUUCAUACAUGGUUCAACGAUCAUAAUCUCGUGUAUAUGAGUUGUAUAUAAUUAAGAUUGAAAAGGUAGUCGAAUAACUGAUUCUUCUUUAAGCUCACAUCCCAUCGAGGAAAAAGAAGUUAAAGUGGAAUCAUCAAUUCUAAACCUGUAGAACCUUGAUUAUAUAUCACCCCUACGUAUACAUUCAUCAGUGACAGAUCAACCGUAUGGAUCUUUGGAUUUGAACUUGACGUACUGUACGAGUGGCACUUCAGGGAUUUCUUCGGAGAGGGAAAGAAUUAUGAGGUACUCCAUUCAUGAGUAAUUGGUGUUCUGAUAUGACGGUUUCGCUGGAAAGGCGAUUUCGAAGAAAGAGAUGUACAUGUGAAACUGUUUUUUGUGAGAAUCAAAUUGAAUCAAGUCGUAUGAUAAUGUCAGAAUCAUAAGGAAACUUAAAGACAUUAGAUUUGAACAUAAGACGUUUACCGACAAAACACAACCGUGCAACCAUCAACAGAGUUACAGUACUUUAGACUACUACAAGACUAUUGCUGCAAAUAAGGUAUACUACAAAGGCAAGUAUACGCAGCAUGAGUAUCCCUAUACUGACGGGAUCCCGCAAAAGACAAGGCUCUGGUUGCACUAGUUUUGGAUGGUUUAUAAGUCUGUUACAACGAAACGUCUAAAUUACAUUAAUGUGGGUUCGGAGUAGGUUCUCCUGCAACUGUGGUCCUGAGAAUCCUACCGUCUAUGCCAGAAUUCUUUGUGAUAGGGCAAUCGUUCAACAUCCAAUGGCGGUGCUGUUGCUAGGCCGUUUUUCUUCCGGUCAAGUCCACCGCCUUUCAUGCCUAAAUACAUACUAUCAAAUUCCUCCGAAUCGAAAUCCUCCAGCAAUCCUUCUUGAGGUGCCCUCGUCUCCUCGCGUUGGUGGCAUGACCGGCUAGUGCUAGCCUUAGUGGUGGGAGUGAGAUGUUUAGCCAGUGUUAUGUGGACACGAGUGCCUUCCUCAAUACCCCACCUUGGAAAUUGCUUCCUAAGGCGUUCUGCAGGAGUUGCCACUUGUUGUGGCAUGGCAAGUCUUUGGGAUCUCUUGCGCUCCUUUAGGGCUUGCUUAUGUUGCCUAAUUUGAUGUGUGUAAGGAAGGUUGUCACAGCAGUUGCUACUGCAGCUUGUAAUAGUUUUGUAUGCAAAGUUUAUCCUUUUCACAAUGUUUGACAAAGCAUAAAUCAAAAGUUCUUUGAAUGUAUAAAAUGGUUUAGUAACGAUGGUUACCCUUGAUAUGAUGUAUUUGUAUGUAAAUGUAUAAAUAAAACAUAUUUCUAUUUAUAAAACAUAUUGUAUCCCAAGAGGGUAAAGUUGUGUUGUGAGGUGUUUUGCAUGAUAAUGACUUCAUAAGAUAGUUAAAACAACAGUAUGAAAAGUAUAGUAAAAGAUCGAUGUUUCAC
This 3466-nucleotide long non-coding RNA is filed under the name Lactuca sativa (garden lettuce). RNAcentral's name for it is "long non-coding RNA (LSAT_LNC001237)". Lineage: Eukaryota; Viridiplantae; Streptophyta; Magnoliopsida; Asterales; Asteraceae. The record is from RNAcentral.